RNAcentral lists this ribosomal RNA (282 nucleotides) under Campylobacter jejuni. RNAcentral's name for it is "partial 16S ribosomal RNA". It matches the Rfam family "Bacterial small subunit ribosomal RNA", at positions 1 to 280 of the family's 1533-position model. Lineage: Bacteria; Pseudomonadati; Campylobacterota; Epsilonproteobacteria; Campylobacterales; Campylobacteraceae. The record is from RNAcentral.
UUUUAUGGAGAGUUUGAUCCUGGCUCAGAGUGAACGCUGGCGGCGUGCCUAAUACAUGCAAGUCGAACGAUGAAGCUUCUAGCUUGCUAGAAGUGGAUUAGUGGCGCACGGGUGAGUAAGGUAUAGUUAAUCUGCCCUACACAAGAGGACAACAGUUGGAAACGACUGCUAAUACUCUAUACUCCUGCUUAACACAAGUUGAGUAGGGAAAGUUUUUCGGUGUAGGAUGAGACUAUAUAGUAUCAGCUAGUUGGUAAGGUAAUGGCUUACCAAGGCUAUGAC